Molecule: small RNA, 72 nt
Filed under: Sinorhizobium meliloti 2011
Lineage: Bacteria; Pseudomonadati; Pseudomonadota; Alphaproteobacteria; Hyphomicrobiales; Rhizobiaceae
Description: putative ncRNA
Source: RNAcentral
UUUCGUCGAGCGCUUCGCUCAUUCCCGAUAUCGGGUACCGCCAUAGUAUCCACCUAGCACUUGGUGGGCGCU